Molecule: small nuclear RNA, 164 nt
Organism: Trichomycterus rosablanca
Lineage: Eukaryota; Metazoa; Chordata; Actinopteri; Siluriformes; Trichomycteridae
Product: U1 spliceosomal RNA
Exons: 1
Source: RefSeq, a predicted model, not a curated record
AUACUUACCCGGCAGGGGCGAGACCAUGAUCAGGAAGCUGGUUCCCCCAGGGCGAGGCUCAGUCAUUGACCUCCGGCUGUGCUGACCCCUGAAAAUUCCCCAAAUGUGGGAAUCUCAACUGCAUCAUUUCUGAUAGUGGGGGACUGUGCUCGUGCUCUUUCCUG